GAUGAACGCUGGCGGCGUGCUUAACACAUGCAAGUCGAACGGUGAAGCCAAGCUUGCUUGGUGGAUCAGUGGCGAACGGGUGAGUAACACGUGAGCAACCUGCCCUGGACUCUGGGAUAAGCGCUGGAAACGGCGUCUAAUACUGGAUAUGAGCCNCUAUCGCAUGGUGGGGGUUGGAAAGAUUUUUUGGUCUGGGAUGGGCUCGCGGCCUAUCAGCUUGUUGGUGAGGUAAUGGCUCACCAAGGCGUCGACGGGUAGCCGGCCUGAGAGGGUGACCGGCCACACUGGGACUGAGACACGGCCCAGACUCCUACGGGAGGCAGCAGUGGGGAAUAUUGCACAAUGGGCGAAAGCCUGAUGCAGCAACCGCCGCGUGAGGGAUGACGGCCUUCGGGUUGUAAACCUCUUUUAGCAGGGAAGAAGCGAAAGUGACGGUACCUGCAGAAAAAGCGCCGGCUAACUACGUGCCAGCAGCCGCGGUAAUACGUAGGGCGCAAGCGUUAUCCGGAAUUAUUGGGCGUAAAGAGCUCGUAGGCGGUUUGUCGCGUCUGCUGUGAAAUCCCGAGGCUCAACCUCGGGCCUGCAGUGGGUACGGGCAGACUAGAGUGCGGUAGGGGAGAUUGGAAUUCCUGGUGUAGCGGUGGAAUGCGCAGAUAUCAGGAGGAACACCGAUGGCGAAGGCAGAUCUCUGGGCCGUAACUGACGCUGAGGAGCGAAAGGGUGGGGAGCAAACAGGCUUAGAUACCCUGGUAGUCCACCCCGUAAACGUUGGGAACUAGUUGUGGGGACCAUUCCACGGUUUCCGUGACGCAGCUAACGCAUUAAGUUCCCCGCCUGGGGAGUACGGCCGCAAGGCUAAAACUCAAAGGAAUUGACGGGGACCCGCACAAGCGGCGGAGCAUGCGGAUUAAUUCGAUGCAACGCGAAGAACCUUACCAAGGCUUGACAUAUACGAGAACGGGCCAGAAAUGGUCAACUCUUUGGACACUCGUAAACAGGUGGUGCAUGGUUGUCGUCAGCUCGUGUCGUGAGAUGUUGGGUUAAGUCCCGCAACGAGCGCAACCCUCGUUCUAUGUUGCCAGCACGUAAUGGUGGGAACU
This 1100-nucleotide ribosomal RNA is filed under the name Microbacterium sp. IK2_41_1. RNAcentral's name for it is "bacterial SSU rRNA". It matches the Rfam family "Bacterial small subunit ribosomal RNA", at positions 28 to 1139 of the family's 1533-position model. The record is from RNAcentral. Lineage: Bacteria; Bacillati; Actinomycetota; Actinomycetes; Micrococcales; Microbacteriaceae.